Molecule: ribosomal RNA, 437 nt
Filed under: uncultured bacterium
Lineage: Bacteria
Description: partial 16S ribosomal RNA
Rfam family: Bacterial small subunit ribosomal RNA
Source: RNAcentral
CUACGGGGGGCUCCAGUGAGGAAUAUUGCACAAUGGGGGGAACCCUGAUGCAGCAACGCCGCGUGGAGGAUGACGCAUUUCGGUGUGUAAACUCCUUUUAUAUGUCAAGAAAAUGACGGUAGCAUAUGAAUAAGCACCGGCUAACUCCGUGCCAGCAGCCGCGGUAAUACGGAGGGUGCAAGCGUUACUCGGAAUCACUGGGGUAAAGGACGCGUAGGCGGGUUUGCAAGUCAGGUGUGAAAUCCUAUGGCUCAACCAUAGAACUGCACUUGAAACUGCGAACCUAGAGUAUGGAAGGGGCAGAUGGAAUUAGUGGUGUAGGGGUAAAAUCCGUAGAUAUCACUAGGAAUACCAAAAGCGAAGGCGAUCUGCUGGGACAUUACUGACGCUAAGGCGUGAAAGCGUGGGGAGCAAACAGGAUUAGAUCCCGAGUAGUC